Molecule: ribosomal RNA, 775 nt
Filed under: uncultured Neocallimastigales
Lineage: Eukaryota; Fungi; Neocallimastigomycota; Neocallimastigomycetes; Neocallimastigales
Description: partial large subunit ribosomal RNA
Rfam family: Eukaryotic large subunit ribosomal RNA
Source: RNAcentral
UACUAGAGUAGCACUCGCAUAUCAAUAAGCGGAGGAAAAGAGACUAACUAGGAUUCCCCUAGUAACGGCGAGUGAAGCGGGAAGAGCUCAAAUUUGAAAUCUUAAAGGGUUUCCCUUUACGAAUUGUAGUUUAAAGAAGUGUUUUCUGUUGAGGUUUUGGUAAAAGUUCUUUGGAAUAGGACAUCAUAGAGGGUGAGAAUCCCGUAUUUGACCUUUACUUUCAACUUUGUGAUACACUUUCAAAGAGUCGGAUUGUUUGGGAAUGCAGUCCAAAAUGGGUGGUAAAUUUCAUCUAAAGCUAAAUAUUGGCGAGAGACCGAUAGCGAACAAGUACCGUGAGGGAAAGAUGAAAAGAACUUUGAAAAGAGAGUUAAACAGUACGUGAAAUUGUCAAAAGGGAAGCGUUUGAUCACCAGUGUUGUUUUUCUGAAAAUCAAUUAAAGAACUGUUUAUGCUAAGCUGUUUAGACUUUAUCAGCUAUCUGUUUAGUUUUGAGCUUUUCUUUAAUGCACUUUUCAGUUAACAAGUCAACAUCAAUUUCUUUUGCUGUAAAAAAGCUUGAGGAAGGUGGCUUGAGAUUCGUCUUAAGUGUUUAUAGCCUCUUGCCUAUGCAGUCGGAGAGAUUGAGGUCUGCAGCGUAGAUCCUUCGGGGCUAAAUGCAUUUGUGCUAAGUUAUAGCAUUUUAUAGACAACUUGUUGACUAUGAUUUGUCUUGUAGCUUACUCGCUUAUGUUAUUUUACCUACGCUUAGGAUGUUGAGCGCAUGUCUCUCUCU